AAAAAAUAAUCAUCUAUUGGAAUAUUGUUUUAAGAACAAAUGUAGUAAAGGUCAAAUAAGACAAAUACCAAACUUCAAGGAAAAUAAAACAUCCUUUACCAAAUGGCAAACUUAAUAGUCUUAACACAUCAUUCGAUUGGUAGACCAACUGUCAUAUUCCUUACUUGGUACAUGCAUUUCCUUAUUUAGAAAAUGGUUUUAAAGAUAGCUAAAUAUUUCUCUUAUAUGACAGAUACAUCGAAUUCUACCUACUUGACAACAACAAAGUGUGAAAAAA
RNAcentral lists this long non-coding RNA (277 nucleotides) under Mytilus galloprovincialis (Mediterranean mussel). Lineage: Eukaryota; Metazoa; Mollusca; Bivalvia; Mytilida; Mytilidae. The record is from RNAcentral.